CAGCCGCCGCGGUAACACGUAGGGCGCAAGCGUUAUCCGGAAUUAUUGGGCGUAAAGAGCUCGUAGGCGGUUUGUCGCGUCUGCCGUGAAAGUCCGGGGCUCAACCCCGGAUCUGCGGUGGGUACGGGCAGACUAGAGUGAUGUAGGGGAGACUGGAAUUCCUGGUGUAGCGGUGAAAUGCGCAGAUAUCAGGAGGAACACCGAUGGCGAAGGCAGGUCUCUGGGCAUUAACUGACGCUGAGGAGCGAAAGCAUGGGGAGCGAACAGGAUUAGAUACCCCCGUAGUCCCUGUCUCUUAUAC
This 301-nucleotide ribosomal RNA is filed under the name uncultured bacterium. RNAcentral's name for it is "partial 16S ribosomal RNA". It matches the Rfam family "Bacterial small subunit ribosomal RNA", at positions 509 to 807 of the family's 1533-position model. The record is from RNAcentral.